This 406-nucleotide ribosomal RNA is filed under the name uncultured bacterium. RNAcentral describes it as "partial 16S ribosomal RNA". It matches the Rfam family "Bacterial small subunit ribosomal RNA", at positions 30 to 526 of the family's 1533-position model. The record is from RNAcentral.
AUUGAACGCUGGCGGCAGGCCUAACACAUGCAAGUCGAACGAGUGGCGGACGGGUGAGUAAUGUCUGGGAAACUGCCUGAUGGAGGGGGAUAACUACUGGAAACGGUAGCUAAUACCGCAUACCAUCAGAUGUGCCCAGAUGGGAUUAGCUAGUAGGUGAGGUAACGGCUCACCUAGGCGACGAUCCCUAGCUGGUCUGAGAGGAUGACCAGCCACACUGGAACUUAUGCACGGUCAAGACUCCGAAGGUAGGCAGCAGUGGGGAAGAUUGCACAAUGGGCGGAAGCCUGAUGCAGCCAUUCCGCGUGUAUGAAGAAGGCCUCCGGGUUUUAAAGUACUUUCAGCGGGUAGGCGUUACCCGCAGGAGAAGCACCGGCUAACUCCGUGCCAGCGGCCGCGGUAAUAC